This 439-nucleotide ribosomal RNA is filed under the name uncultured bacterium. RNAcentral's name for it is "partial 16S ribosomal RNA". It matches the Rfam family "Bacterial small subunit ribosomal RNA", at positions 339 to 795 of the family's 1533-position model. The record is from RNAcentral.
CUACGGGAUGCUGCAGCGAGGAAUAUUGCACAAUGGGGGGAACCCUGAUGCAGCAACGCCGCGUGGAGGAUGACGCAUUUCGGUGUGUAAACUCCUUUUAUAUGUCAAGAAAAUGACGGUAGCAUAUGAAUAAGCACCGGCUAACUCCGUGCCAGCAGCCGCUGUAAUACGGAGGGUGCAAGCGUUACUCGGAAUCACUGGGCGUAAAGGACGCGUAGGCGGGCUGGAAAGUCAGGUGUGAAAUCCUACAGCUUAACUGUAGAACUGCACUUGAAACUUCUAAUCUAGAGUAUGGGAGGGGGAGAUGGAAUUAGUGGUGUAGGGGUAAAAUCCGUAGAUAUCACUAGGAAUACCUAAAGCGAAGGCGAUCUCCUGGAACAUUACUGACGCUAAGGCGUGAAAGCGUGGGGAGCAAACAGGAUUAGAUACCCGGGUAGUC